AAUCCAUGAUGUGGACAUUUCCUGAUCAGAUCUUUGAACCUCUCCCAAGCCUAAUGGAGAGAUUCACUGUCCAGCUGACAAAAAAAUAUUAAUUUCUCCUUGUAGCU
This is a small nucleolar RNA of Cannabis sativa, 107 nucleotides long. The record is from RefSeq and is a predicted model, not a curated record. NCBI's taxonomy places the organism in Eukaryota, Viridiplantae, Streptophyta, Magnoliopsida, Rosales, Cannabaceae.